RNAcentral lists this long non-coding RNA (591 nucleotides) under Pan troglodytes (chimpanzee). RNAcentral's name for it is "long non-coding RNA NONPTRT009669". Lineage: Eukaryota; Metazoa; Chordata; Mammalia; Primates; Hominidae. The record is from RNAcentral.
CCUGGAGAGAGGUGAGAGGCCUGGCAGGCGAGUGUGAAGGCCUGGAGAGAGGCGAGAGGCCUGGAGGGAGGUGAGAGGCCUGGAGAGAGGUGAGAGGCCUGGCAGGCGAGUGUGAAGGCCUGGAGAGAGGUGAGAGGCCUGGAGAGAGGUGAGAGGCCUGGAGAGAGGUGAGAGGCCUGGAGGGAGGUGAGAGGCCUGGAGAGAGGUGAGAGGCCUGGCAGGCGAGUGUGAAGGCCUGGAGAGAGGUGAGAGGCCUGGAGAGAGGUGAGAGGCCUGGAGAGAGGCGAGAGGCCUGGAGGGAGGUGAGAGGCCUGGAGAGAGGCGAGAGGCCUGGCAGGCGAGUGUGAAGGCCUGGAGAGAGGUGAGAGGCCUGGAGAGAGGCGAGAGGCCUGGAGAGAGGUGAGAGGCCUGGAGGGAGGUGAGAGGCCUGGAGAGAGGCGAGAGGCCUGGAGAGAAGUGAGAGACCUGCAGAGAGGUGAGAGUCCUGGAGAGAGGCGAGAGGCCUGGAGAGAGGUGAGAGACCUGGCAGGCGAGUGUGAAGGCCUGGAGGGAGGUGAGAGGCAUGGAGAGAGGUGAGAGGCCUGGAGAGAG